Molecule: RNA transcript, 7829 nt
Organism: Pseudomyrmex gracilis
Lineage: Eukaryota; Metazoa; Arthropoda; Insecta; Hymenoptera; Formicidae
Gene: wake
Gene name: ankyrin repeat and fibronectin type-III domain-containing protein 1
Exons: 12
Source: RefSeq, a predicted model, not a curated record
UUCUCGACAAUGUCAAUGAUCAAGCCUCUGGGUCGAGUCUACACAGAGUAUUCAGCAAACACAGGCUAUUCAUUUGCCCGACCUAAUCAGAAAGUCAGACAAGUUGGCUCGUUGCGCGGCGGUCGUCGGUGCCAAAAGCCUAGGCGAUUUCUCUCUCUCUCUCUUUCUUUCUCGAAGCCGCAGAACGUCGACGGCCGGUUGAUGGAGGGGGCCCAGACACGACAGCUGUUUGCUCGCCAUGGAACGGACCAGAGGGGUCGCAUAUAUGUAAACCCGCCAGUAAUGCCACAUCGAUGGCGUUUCACGGGAGUGUUACAGCGCGAAAUUGUGACAUUUUCGAAUGAGAUUUACUCGGUCAGAUUUUCGCACAGAGUCUGAGAGUGCCGGCAGAAAGAAAGAAAAUCACCAGGCAAUACGUAGCGUUAUGUGAAAGUGAGACCUGCCAUCGCCAAGAAAAUCCGCCUCGUUACAAACGCCGGCAGACUCCGACUUGCUCUGACUCGAGUGCAACAGCACGGUCGGAAAAAGUGCGCGCGCACGUGACGACGCGUUUGUGUGUGUGUGUGUGUGGUUCGACUCCCGUGGACCCGUCCGUCGGUAAAUCCCUCAAGCUCGUUAUUUUGUCUUACGACCAGCAAUAUUUAACUGUAGUUCGAGUGUCUCUCUGUCUAGAAAAAGAAAAUGUCUUUUGCAAUAAUAAUAUUAAGAUCGAUAUCGAAAAUUACGACGUGAUGUCAUAAAUUAACAGCAAAAAGAAUGCAAAGUGAUUAAGUAGUUGUGUGAUCAUCGAUGAAUAAAUAUAAAAAGUGAAUAUAAAUCAAUCAAAUGUUAAAGAAAUAAAGAAGUUUUAAAGAGGCAUUGUACGCAUCGCGAUAUAACAUCAACAAGUAGAUGUUUUACUUCAAUUGAUUGAUGAUUCAAUCGGCAACAAUUCAAUCAAGUUUAAAAGGAUUAAAGGAACGCGCGAACACGACGACAGAAGAUAACGUUACGUUACACGUUUGUUUUCGAAAGUGCAAUUCAAUGUGUUUAUAAACGGUCCGACGGAAUGGAAUUUGCUCUGUGAUCAGCAGGUAGAUCUGCGUGCGUUUGCAUGGCAACUUUUCUCCUCUCUCGGAAAGCACGACGAGAAAACCUCAAUUCCGGUCAACUUGCCGCCUGGGUGGUAUUCGAACGGCAAACGGUGAACGUAGUCACGUGCGUCCUUGCGAGGUUGGCCUCCCAGUUGUGCACGAAGGCGUUGCAUAACCAUAAACGACUCGUUCAUAUAUACGUUCUUGUAGAUUUCAGAGAUUUUCUGUGACGAUGCAGCACUUAUUGCUCAACUUUUUAACUCGGGAUGGUAAUGUCGGAUUGCAGCCUGAUUUCUUCUGAUUUAUACGGACUUUUUUGCAUCCGGCAAGAAGAUUUCUACACUUUUUGCAAUUUCUUCCAAAACAAACGAGAUUUUCUUAGCGUUCAUUCUUAGCGUGACUAGAUUCGAACACGUCGGGAACAGAAAUUGAAUUGAAUAAAUUUGACAAAUGUAUGCAUAAAGUUUCUGUCGCAAAAAAUUGCGAGCACAAAGAACUCUUUACUGGAAAAGGAAGUAGAUGGUCGCUUGUCGGUAUUGCGAUAGAGGCACGGUAUUGCGGUUGUUCGAUAACGAGGACAAUGCCCUCAAAGGAUAAACAACCGUUUGUGAUGAAGUAGAAAAAUGAAAUUUUACAGCGUAGGUCUUGGACCGUAUUUAGGAAUACUCGGAGUUGACGUUUCUCAUAAAGAGAUCAAUCCAUCCAUCGUGAUAACAAUCGUGCGAUUCUCGUAGAAGUAUAGCACAAGAUGAAUGAGAUAGAAAAACACCAAAGGGAGAGAGAGGGAGAGAGAUGGCUGUUGUCAGAAUGAUUAAUGCUCGCUAAAGGAGGAAACAUCCAAUAGCUGCGGGUAUUUUUGUUUCCUUUUUGCCUUCGCACUUUCUUUUUUUCGAAUGGUAUAGUUGUACGUAUUUUUUUUUUAUUCAAAGUUUUAAAGAAUCGUUAUUCAACGGGUGACACGUUCCCUCAAAUGGAAACUAACAAUUUGCCAGGCUCCGUAAUUACCCUAUUAUCAUCCCGGUCGACCAGUGAUUCUCUCGUUAACUUCUAAUGAGCUUCAAUCUGUAUCGCAAACGGCCACUUUUGCCUCUUCCAAUCGAUUCGAACACGCUCGAACAUUCACGCUUUCGCGAAAAACCGACUGCAUUUAAGAUCCAUGAAAGAUACUUCGAUCAUCGCUUUGAGAAUAACAUCGCUAAUGAAUUUUCAGCGAGAGAAAGUUAAAUUUUCACGCGGAUUGUAUUUUUAGAUGCACAUUGUUUUCUGAGAACGUUACACGCGCUUAAGUUGGAGCCAAGUCUCGAGUGAAGAUCUUCGUUCGAAAUUCCGAUGUACAUAGAAAUAUCGAACGAACUCUUUUCGAGUGGACGGAAGCUUACGUUUAACUUUCGAUAGGGGUUGUUGGGAAGAAAUGCACUAUUAUGUCAAUGCUCCAAGUCGGUUAGAUUACAAACGAUCUUGUCAUUGAUCUUGAAGUACAUUUCGUUAUCAUCGAGAUCUUAACGACUAACGGACGACGGUAAUAAAUUUUAUAGGGCUGACAAAUUGUCGAGGAGGAAGAGACCGUGUUCGGUCCACUUCUUCAUAAUGGCCAAUUGUCGCGCGACGGAAUCGUGUGAGUGUAUAAAGUAAACAAUAAAACGUUUCGGAGGACAGCAGUCGCGUCGCGUCCGUCCGCGCGUUCGCAGCACGUUAUUUUAUCUUCGUGUUAAUUCCCUUUCAUCUGCUCUUCCGUUUCUCCGACACUUCAUGUAAAUAUUUAACAGUUUUCAUCGUCGCGAGAGAAUGACAAGUUGGCGAAAUAUUUUGUUAGCCAAAGCGAAAACACGAGUCGCGGAAUAAUUCACGAACUUAAGCGCGUUUGUUAAAAAAAAAAAAAAAAAAAAAAAACAUUUUUUAACGGAGUUUCUAAGGGGUGAAUCUGCAAUGUAAUAUAUGCGUAACAUUCUCGUCGUGCGCAGCGAGAGAUAAAGGAGAAAUGUGCCAUUGCAAAAAGAGGCAUUAGAAGUGACCGUAUUGAUGAUCUCUUUCAGCUUUACUCUCAAAGCCAAAGAAUUGGUUUACGGAUUUAUAAAGAAAAUCGCAAACUUGGAAAAAACUUGUGCAAAAGUUUGAUCCUAUCUACCAAAGAGAAGUGUUUAUAGAGUGGGGUUUUUUAGUGCUAUUAAUAAUUUAUAAAACGAAUAAAACGGACGGACACGUAAAGAGCAAAUACGUGAUCGUGUUGAGAGGUCUCGAAAAGAUUACAGAGAAAUCUCGGAGACAGGAAGUCGAGAUAUAUCGAGUAGAAUAGUCGAGCGAUCUCCAGAUGAAAUUUCGCAAAUCCUCCACAUCCUGCAGCCCGAAGAUGGAAUUACUCUUGAGACGUUCCUCGGGUAGUAGGAUGUCGACCCUAAAAAGAUCAAGGUCCUUCCGGGCGUCUGUGAAACUGAUGUCAAAGAUACGCAAUCACGCCAAUCUGCGACUGACCGCCGGUUAUGAUAUCUCACCUAUCUCGAAUGAUUUCGUCGCCAAGAAGGAAUAUAACAUCCACACCGUUGAAGAAACGUCAAACAGUAGAGUAGUUUCAGAUCCGUCUAAAGAUCUCGCGGAUAUAAACUUUCGUGACGGGAACAAAGUCGAUGGCGAAAUAUCUUCGAAUCCUCAUAAGAUUUCGGUGUUAGCUAACGAUGUGGAUCCACGUGAAAUCACGAAGGAUUUGAAGAGCAAACUGUCUCUGGCCGAUAGAAUAAUGGGUAAAAGUCGCAAAAACGCGGAUAAACAUUUGACGAAGGACGAAGAUGUGAAGUCGCCGAAAGUUCGCAUCUUCCGUAGAAAACAUAGCACGGAAAGUUCGCAGGAAGACACUCAGGGGAAGAACCGCAGUGACAAAUGCGCGUCCUACGAGAAUCCUAUGUUUGUGCUAGACAGUUCCUUGGACUCCUCCGUCUCGAGUUUUCUCUUCGAACCUGCAGAGGAGAAAGAGGAGCAGAAACAACAAGAUCACAAAGGAAAGGAGCACGCGGUGUCCUGCGAACAAGACGUUUUGACGGUCAUCGUGGGUUCCCAUAAAACCGCAAGUAACCGCAAGGCGAAUUACGAGGAAGACGAGGAAUGCUUUGAAAAUGAAGAGUCACAGAACGUAUUUCGUCCGAGAUGCGAGACGAGUCCUUGCCCUUGUGAAUUACGGAGCGAAGCUUCACAAUCAUCUGCGAUAAACCUGAGUCGAAGGACCGCUGAGUCUUUCAGCGGCUACGAUCGCUCAAGAGUGAACAUUUAUUGUAAAGUACACGAGGCGAGAAAAAGAAGCGUAACGAAUUAUCUGCAAGAUCAAAAGUUUCUCGACGCUGUCAAGACCUGUCCUUCGAAGUCCUGCGGAAUCAGAACGGUCGAUAAUAUUGCCAACUUCUGGACGAGCAGGCGGGGUAAUAGUUUUCGAAGUAAAAUGGCGAUCGGUAGGAAAAGAGACGCGAAGGAUCAUGAGCGAGUCGACCAGGAACGAGUUCUCGUGUCGACGUCAUCAAGAUCAAAGUUACACUCGUUGCAAGGGAUGGAGUUCCUGGAGGGAUUUGGCAAGAAGAAACAACAGCCCCAUCAACAACUGAAUAACCUAUCGUCAAUACAUAUCAAUCCUCUCUCCACUCAAUCCCUCAGCAUACACCAGCAUGCUUUAUUUGCGGCUGUAGAACAUGGCUACUUGGAUAAAGCGAGGACUAUUUUGGAGUCUACUGAUGUGAACGUAAAUAGCGUAAAUAACGACGGCUUGUCGCCGCUGGACGUUGCUGUGCUUAGCAACAACAGACCCCUGGCAAAAAUGCUUGUCGCAUUCGGCGCGCAGGAAGGAAACCGAUUUAAAUCUCCGGAAUCUCUCGGAAGUCACUUGGCAUCAUUGCUCUCGGAAGCAGAACACAGAGUUCAAGAACUCGGCGGGAGCACUUCCGGUAGUGGAACCAGUCUAUUGGAACCACCUGGCAGUCAUAGGGCUAGUUUUUCCGCGCAACAUAAUAACUUCACGGCAUGCGGUGGCAGCGCGGAAGACAAACAUCUUGCUCUAUGGGAAAGAAGAGCGCGCGCUCUUAGAAAAAUGUUGUUGGGUUUUGAUCAAGCGCGACCACCCGACAUGCCUUCCUUGGUCGAGGUAGACGUUACCGGAACGACUACGGUAACAGUCAGAUUUCAAGAACCGGACUCGCACGACUCCUCAAUCUGCACUAAGUUUAAAGUCCAGUGGAGUUUGCAAGACGACUUCUUGGUUAUCUGCGACGAGAAAGAAGUUCUAGACAUGAAACAGAGAGAAUGUCGGAUAGAGGGUCUGAUACAAGGGCAAAAAUAUUAUUUCCGCGCUGCCGCAGGAAAUUUGAAGGGAUACAGCAGAUUUAGAAAUUCGACGCCCGCACAUGUUACACCUAGCAGUUGGAGAGAUAUAGACGGCAGAGUACCGAGGUUCGCGGGACGAUUGGAACAACUAAAUACUCUAUUUACUGACAUAAGACGACCUGAAUAUACGCAAGAAACACCAGCGGUACAAAGGCGUAAUCACAAAAAGAAGACAGCAAUAAAACAGCUGUUCACGGCAACGAGUAAAUUUCAGAAAAAUCUCAGGCGAGGAGUAUUUCUCGCGUGUCUGCUCUAUCACGAGGAUAAGGUUCUAGUUACUAGCGAGGACUUUUUGCCUGUCAUUGAGAUCGACGAAACAUAUCCGAGUUGUAUCUACAAUGAUUUUCAUUGGCUCAUGAAAGUCGCUUGCACCUGGGACGAUGUCAAAUCUCUCCGACAGGAUAUGGAAAAGAGUUACAGCAGUUCAACCAAUCAUUUUAGGAUAAAGUUGCUUCAAGCUGCUGCUCAAAUGCAGGCGGCACUGAGCAUACAGGACCUUGGACAAUUGUACUACAAACCGAUCAGAGACAUUCAAGGCACUUUAGUAUUCUCAACGGUGAAUAACAUAAAGUCACCAAAACUGGUUUCUGUGCUAAACAGCAGGUGGCUGCCGCUCAGUAAAGUCAUAAAGAAGGUCAUAACACAUGAGGAUAGCAAUGUUGGCGACAUUCUUAUGGCCAGCAUACAAGAGCAAAUAACAUACCACGAGGUCAGCAGCAAAAAAUUGUCCAUGGGUUUAUACCUCGGUUAUCUCAAGAUGCAAAGUAGCGUGGAUCUUAUACAAGUCGUAGUUCCAGCAAAAUCUCCGAACGUAUUGCCACACUGGAAGAUUCGCGAUAAUCCUCAUGUAUCCGCGGAGGAGUGGGACUAUCUAAAGAGAGUAACACGAAUCUGUUCAUCGGAGUCCUCCGUGGAAUCCGAGGAAAAAGAGAACGUGACGAAUGAAGCACAAGGCACGGAACAGCAGAAACUGUUUGUUGAUCUAGUAGCCGCGACGGCUCGACGACUAUUCAAUUAUAUGGAGAUCACUGCGGAGGAUUCGCUGCUGCAUCGACUAUACGACGCAGAAGUGAUCGAUUUGACGCAUGACGUAUCGUUUCUAAUAGCCGUGCCGCCCGCAGAAACUGCUUGUUGCGUGCCUGGCACACGAGAGAUCCUAUUACAACGGGGUGAUCUUUUGUCGUUGCCUAUUCAAGUUUUCGAGAUGGUGCAUUUGAAUACGUAUCAAAAGGACGUGAUCAGUCGUUACUCGAGGCUCAGCUGUAUCCUAGAACUCGACACUGCACAGGCGCAGCAUAAUCACAGAGAAGCCUUCAGUUCCUUAGAGUUAAGUGUCGCGAAGGACAAGUUGGUGAGACUACAGGAUCUUCAGUCGCAAGUGAACACAGUGUGGAAAGGUGCCAGGUGGCUGAUUGAUGUUAUCACUUUUGCGAGAGAUCGUGGCUCGUCUCAAUUCAACGUCUCGUCGCAAACCGUUGGCAUAUCUAUGAAACAUCUGUUUAGUCUGGAUAGAAACAAAAAUAUUAAUAGCAACAGCUUGAAACGAAGCUUGUUGCAAUUACCGCCUAGAGAUCCUAAGCUCGUCAAAGCGAGUCCCGGCCGCGGCAGCUGGCCAGGUCCUAAUCUAUCGAAUACGUCUAAUCUUCUCACGACGGAAUUCAGCAAGAGUGAACAGCAGUUACUCAGCGGACAAUACAUUCGCAAAGGUAGUAACACAUCUAACGUGUCGACGAGUUCGGAGCCGCAGAAAUCAUCGGUCGUUCCGAUGAGCAGCAGCAGUAAUUUGACCACAGCGAGCAGUGCUAGUCAUCUAGUACCGCUGCAGAACACGCGGCUACCGCCGUCCAAAUCCGAGGAUACUCUCAUUCUCACCAAGUACAAACAAAGUCCGCGAAAUCGUUCGGCUCCGGUAACAUCGGCAUCGGCUAGCACUAGUCCGUUGCUAAGUAUAAAACCUAUUAUGUAUGGCGGUUCGCUCUUGAGCGUUUCUACAGCAAUGACAAACACUACGAGCAUGCUAAGCGUGAGUAACACGAACUCUGAUAGCUUGCACUCGUUAAGCAGCGAUGAAUACUCGACGCCAAAUUCAAGCGUUUGCUUGAAACCCGGUCAUUCAAUCAAAGUCAAAACGUCCAAACCAACAGCGAGCGUCGCAGCGAUGGCCACUGUGUCCCAAGACAACAUAGACGAAGAGAAGGACGAGGCGACAUUAAUGCCUGCACCUUUGCCAGGCAUUCUUCAGGGAACACAAGUCUAACCUGAUUAUUAUUAAAAACAAGUUGGUCUUCUCAAGUGAUGUAGUGGACAUAUUAAGUUUACGCGGCCUACGAGACUGGUUUAGCGGCUGGCACAAGUUUGAAGCUACACGUAACGCCAAGGACUACAGCGCGGGAAGUUGUG